Molecule: ribosomal RNA, 167 nt
Filed under: uncultured bacterium
Lineage: Bacteria
Description: partial 16S rRNA
Rfam family: Bacterial small subunit ribosomal RNA
Source: RNAcentral
UAGGGAAUCUUCGGCAAUGGACGAAAGUCUGACCGAGCAACGCCGCGUGAGUGAAGAAGGUUUUUCGGAUCGUAAAAACUCUGUUGGUAGAGAAGAACGUUGGUGAGAGUGGAGAGCUCAUCAAGUGACGGUAACUACCCAGAAAGGGACGGCUAACUACGUGCCAG